AGGGAGGCCAUCCAUCGUCCACCCAGAGGAAGGGGGUGAAGGUCAGUUGAACCCAGUGCUCCCACAAUGCCACAGACGGAUCCUGGCACACAGCCAGGACUCAGUGACACUACUUCGGCUUCACGUGGGCUCCAGGACCAUGGAAGCUUCGGGAAUGGGACAGAAGGCGAAAGGGGUAAAAAGUGAGAGACCAGUGGAAUCACCUCAAAGCGAACCAGGAAGUCCUUCAGGUUUGGGAAUGCAUCCAGGCACUUGGGCUCGAACAUGCGGUGGCAGGUCGAGGAUGUCGUAC
Molecule: long non-coding RNA, 292 nt
Organism: Phyllostomus discolor (pale spear-nosed bat)
Lineage: Eukaryota; Metazoa; Chordata; Mammalia; Chiroptera; Phyllostomidae
Exons: 2
Source: RefSeq, a predicted model, not a curated record